AUUUUGACUUGGAGUUUAGCGGCGAAAUACAAAAUAAAGUCAAUCAGAAUUUCGCUUAGAUAAAACAUUUUCGAUGAAAAAUGGUUAUGUUAUGCAGAGAGAAAGGUUAGUAUUAAAUUUAGCUAUCUUUUAAACGUUUAUGAGCUGUUCUUGUUAAGUUAUAGUUGUUGUUUGAAACGCAUGCUAUAAAAUCAUUGAAUCGACUUCUCUUCUCGUUCAAGCGCAUCGUUCUCGCCUAGUCGCUUCAUUCCCUUAGUAUUCCUCCCACAUUUUCUCAUAAUAAUGUUCAGAAAUACCCCUGCUGUGAUUUGUUUAACUUAUAUUUGUUUUAUCUGCAGUUUCAGGGCAAAAAUUUGACGAGAAAAGCUGAAAGUUGACUGAUUGAAGUCGCCGACCGGUCGAAGGCCUCGAAGCACGCGGUAAGCAUAAUGUCCAAUUGAAAGCUAAAUUAAGCUUCUCUUGUACAACUUCAACGUAUUGUAGCAUUGCUGAAGCUUUAUGAACACUUUGAGUUUAUUUUAGCUUAAAUUUUGUUCAAAAUUUGAUCUGAGCGAAAUGCCGAAUCACAUGUUCAAUCUGAGGCAUGCAUAGUUUCUUGUUUGUGGUUCGCUUUUUUAAAAGCUUAAAAGUUUUCCUUACCCAACACUGAACAUCUCGUAACAUUGUUCAAGCUUUCUACGCAUUUCGAAUUAGGUUUAGUUUAAUUUUGGUUAAAAUUUUGUCCGAAAUGCCGAACCCGUUUUUGUUUAUGUGCAAAUUGUACUCUGAGAGGAGCAGUUCGUGUUUUUUGAGGUUGUCUAAGUUGAAUUUAAUCCAAAUUUUCCGACGAAAUUCAGAGGUUAAAUGCCCUCGUGGUUCGUGUCCGCAUUCUUAUCAGUAAUAAAUAAAACUGGAAAACUUUUGAAUUGGGCAACCACACCCUAUGUAAAUGACAUUAAUUUAAAUAACUCUUUAAAACUAAACUAUUAUCCAACUUUUUAGGCUUCCUCAGUGAACACUACCGAAAGGCCUCCUGAACAGUUUCGAAGAGACGCUCGCAUAGCAGUCAGAAGCAAAACGACAAAUUAUAGACGAAUGCAAAGGGCAAAUGCAGAACGCUAUCGUAUCUCGACCCCUUUGCUUCCCACAACAUUUGUCGUCGGAUUUCGUGCCAUGUUUGAAAUAGAUGACGAAUCGCAACCGAUGCUGAUCCCAGAGGCAAACCAGAAUCCAGUCCAAGUCUGAUAGUGAUGGAGAACUGACAGUGGAUGCAACCGUCAUCAGAUUUCGUUCAGUCAGCUAAUUGUGAAUAGGAUGCAAAGAGCUGUAAGGCUACAACCAAAGCUGUGCCAUCCAUGCAGAGAUCCUAACCAAUGCGUCACACCAUGUCUUAGACUGAAGGAUAAGAAGUCGUUGAAGAAAGACGCCAUAAUUACAGGUAUAUUUUUAUCUGUGAUUUGUAUUAAUGAAUUUAUUUACUGUAACACACUGUAUCAAAGUAAAUAUUUGAUGAUGGUCAAUGCAGAGGUCAAUGAUGCUGGUCAAUGCAGAGGUCAUAGAAUCUAUUAUUUCUAGAUAUCUAUAGAUAUCUAUAGAUAUAAUAGAUAUCUAUUAUUUCUAUGGCAGAGGUUCAGAUCCAUUACCUGACUACUCCUCCUCUCGCAGACUUAAUGCGCAUUUGAUUGGUUCAUCAGCUAUAUUAAAUGCAACUGAUUAGCUAAUGCAUGGUCGCUACCAUGUUGUGGAAAUAAAAAUCUGAACCUCUCGAGUAUAUCAGAAUGUUGACAAUCGAGGAGCAAGCAAACAAAGUACUUUGCUACCAAAUAUACUACUGUAUAUAAUGAAAAGAAUUCGCGUCAUUUUGCCUGCUGGUUGACCAGCCAUCUCAUGCGUGAGGAAUAAUUGUCUGGAUGUGUCACUUAUGUGUUCUCUUAUUUCUUUUAUUUCAGAUUCUCGUUGGUCGUGUUCCAAAGUACGUGGGGCCACCCUGAGGACGCCCAAAUGCACAAAAAAUUUAAACAUGGCACAUUUUCCUCAAUUUCGCAACUUAUUCAAAUUUUUCACAUUUCAUUGUAUUUGUAAAAAGCUCUUAACGAAAUCGAAAUGUUUGAAAUUCGGAAGGUUUUGUCUGAGAGUUUGUUUAUUUGAAAAAUAUUUGAAAUGAAAUUUUGAAGUUUACAUCACUUUGGUAUUUGGUCUAAACGCUAGGUAAAAUCAUGCCAGAUGAGUGGCCGGCCAUUCGUCGAGGUUCGGUGAUACUUCGGCUCGGACUUUCCCGACCUACAGUCGAGUUGCCCUGAUUGAUUGUCGUGAUCAACUAGCACAAAUGUAAGUACUGGCCACACUUACAUCUGUGCUUUUUGUUCGUGGCAUGAGAUCCGGGUAGCUCGCCUGUAGGCCUGGAAAGAUCGAGCCAAAAUACCACCAAACUUUGAUUUGUGGCCAGUUUUUUGUCUGUAUGGCUUUAUCCAGCGUUUUCCCGUUAUCAUUUUGAUAUAGACUUUGGGAUUUCGGUUUGGAUAUUUUUAAUGUAAACAUUCUUUGAGGUUUAAUCUUUCAUGAAUUUCAUAAUUUUUGACUAGUUAAUUGUGUUUCUCGCAGAUACCAUAAUUGUAUUUAAAAAUGUUGACCAAAAAAUUUCAACCUAACUAAAACGUCAUUUGAGGUGCCGGACUGGAGGCCCAUUGGUAUUGGUGGCGGAUAUCGAUGGAUAAAUAAGGAUUAUCGUGUACUACCAAAUGUGAAUACUGUGAAUAUUUAUGGACAUAAACACUAAUGGAUUACUGUGAACACUUACGGAUCAUUAUGAACAUUUGUGGAUAAAACAUAUUCGACGAUCGACGGUUACCUUCCAAUGUACCUUCAACAGAACUGCGCAACGGUAACAAGACGACUGCCUCAAGGUUAGAUUAUUAGUCUGAUAACAGGCAGUAUUAAGCCUGUUAUCAGGCAGCUGUAGUUAGCCUGCUAUCAGGCAGUAGUUGGCCUGCUAUCAGGCAGUAGUUGACCUGCUAACAGGUAGUAUAUCGGUAGGAUUCGUACCCAGGACUCUAAUUUGCAUGUGUUCGUUGAAAUCUCUGAGUUAAAUUAAUACAAAAUUCCUGGCGGUCUAUAGUUAGCAGUACAUUUGCACGCAAGGUUGAUUUUUAUUCAGAUACUUGCAUGCUAAUAAAAUUGAGGUAAAAUUUCGGUAAUAUCUGCAAUCAAAAGUCAAUCUUAAAGAGGAUAACAUUUGAGCUUUCGGUCACGUGGUUGUUGCAUGCACUCGGUUCGGUUGUUGGUGAGUUUCAGUAAGUGUUGCAGUCCAGAUGAAGGUCAACUGAGUGAAUGUUGACACUUGUAAGAGCAAUUUAUUUUGUUCCAAAAUUUAAUUUUUGAUCCAAAUCACAAGACUACUCAUAAAAUAAAAAAAGGUGAACAUUAUUUUUCACUCUAGUAACUCGUAUUGAAACCCACUAGAUAUUCGCGGUCUAUUCGUGCCAAUGUGCUCCUCUUUGUGUAAAUGUACUGCUUAGGUGUCUGUGCAUGGAUAAACGCAGCGCGCAGCUAGUAUUUAGAAUAGACAGACAAGUAAAACCUUGCCAGGCUUAAAUAUUUUGCAUGUAUAUAUCUCCGUAUGUUGGGUUAACGAAUAUGGU
This 3617-nucleotide long non-coding RNA is filed under the name Paramuricea clavata. Lineage: Eukaryota; Metazoa; Cnidaria; Anthozoa; Malacalcyonacea; Plexauridae. The record is from RNAcentral.